Molecule: long non-coding RNA, 93 nt
Organism: Melanotaenia boesemani (Boeseman's rainbowfish)
Lineage: Eukaryota; Metazoa; Chordata; Actinopteri; Atheriniformes; Melanotaeniidae
Exons: 3
Source: RefSeq, a predicted model, not a curated record
UUUAUUGUUCAGGCGAACACCCAGGUACUUGUAAGAUGUCAUCAUCUCUAUGUCCAUUCCCUGGAUGUUCACUGUAAAAUCGAGCUGUUUAUU